RNAcentral lists this long non-coding RNA (707 nucleotides) under Olea europaea (common olive). Its description in RNAcentral is "long non-coding RNA (OEUR_LNC007735)". Lineage: Eukaryota; Viridiplantae; Streptophyta; Magnoliopsida; Lamiales; Oleaceae. The record is from RNAcentral.
UGGCGCCUGUGCCGUCAUGGCACUUGAGCGUGUACCGGCGGAUAUUCGGGCACAAGGUGGCGUGGCCCGUAUGUCGGAUCCACAGCUGAUUAAGGAUAUUAAGCAAGCGGUUACUAUUCCUGUGAUGGCGAAGGCCCGGAUUGGGCAUUUUGUUGAGGCCCAGAUUCUUGAGGCUAUUGGGAUUGAUUAUGUUGAUGAGUCUGAGGUGCUUACCCCUGCAGAUGAUGAAAAUCAUAUUAACAAGCAUAAUUUUCGGAUCCCUUUUGUUUGUGGCUGCCGGAACCUUGGGGAGGCCCUCCGCCGUAUAAGGGAGGGCGCCGCCAUGAUUCGAACCAAGGGGGAAGCGGGCACAGGGAAUAUUAUUGAGGCGGUGCGUCAUGUGCGGUCGGUUAUGGGAGAUAUUCGGCUUCUUCGCAAUAUGGAUGAUGAUGAGGUGUUUACAUUUGCGAAGAAAAUUCAGGCGCCAUACGAUCUGGUGAUGCAGACCAAGCAGCUUGGCAGGCUUCCAGUGGUGCAUUUUGCAGCCGGUGGGGCGGCCACACCUGCAGAUGCCGCUCUCAUGAUGCAGCUGGGAUGUGAUGGCGUUUUUGUAGGUUCUGGAGUGUUCAAGAGUGGGGAUCCUGCCCGCAGGGCCCGUGCCAUUGUCCAGGCCGUCACGCACUACAGCGACCCGGAGGUUCUGGUUGAUGUUAGCUGUGGGCUCGGGG